GAGUAACACGUGGGUAACCUGCCUGUAAGACUGGGAUAACUCCGGGAAACCGGAGCUAAUACCGGAUAGUUCCUUGAACCGCAUGGUUCAAGGAUGAAAGACGGUUUCGGCUGUCACUUACAGAUGGACCCGCGGCGCAUUAGCUAGUUGGUGAGGUAACGGCUCACCAAGGCGACGAUGCGUAGCCGACCUGAGAGGGUGAUCGGCCACACUGGGACUGAGACACGGCCCAGACUCCUACGGGAGGCAGCAGUAGGGAAUCUUCCGCAAUGGACGAAAGUCUGACGGAGCAACGCCGCGUGAGUGAUGAAGGUUUUCGGAUCGUAAAGCUCUGUUGUUAGGGAAGAACAAGUGCAAGAGUAACUGCUUGCACCUUGACGGUACCUAACCAGAAAGCCACGGCUAACUACGUGCCAGCAGCCGCGGUAAUACGUAGGUGGCAAGCGUUGUCCGGAAUUAUUGGGCGUAAAGGGCUCGCAGGCGGUUUCUUAAGUCUGAUGUGAAAGCCCCCGGCUCA
Molecule: ribosomal RNA, 517 nt
Filed under: Bacillus safensis
Lineage: Bacteria; Bacillati; Bacillota; Bacilli; Caryophanales; Bacillaceae
Description: bacterial SSU rRNA
Rfam family: Bacterial small subunit ribosomal RNA
Source: RNAcentral